AUUGAACGCUGGCGGUAGGCCUAACACAUGCAAGUCGAGCGGCUGAACGGAGCUUGCUCGUGGAUUCAGCGGCCGACGGGUGAGCAAUGCCUAGGAAUCUGCCUGGUUGUGUGGAAUAACGGCCGUACACGGGGCCUAAUACCGCAUUCCUCCAGACGGCCAACGGGUGGGAGCUGCGGACCUCCCGCCAUCAGAUGAGCCGAGGUCGGGUUAGCUAGUUGGUGGGGUAAAGGCCUACCAAGGCGACGAUCCGUCACUGGUCUGAGAGGAUGAUCAGUCACACUGGAACUGAGACACGGUCCAGACUCCUACGGGAGGCAGCAGUGGGGAAUAUUGGACAAUGGGCGCAAGCCUGAUCCAGCCAUGCCGCGUGUGUGAAGAAGGUCUUCGGAUUGUAAAGCACUUUAAGUUGGGAGGAAGGGCAGUAAGUUAAUACCUCGCUGUUUUGACGUUACCAACAGAAUAAGCACCGGCUAACUUCGUG
This 484-nucleotide ribosomal RNA is filed under the name uncultured bacterium. RNAcentral describes it as "partial 16S ribosomal RNA". It matches the Rfam family "Bacterial small subunit ribosomal RNA", at positions 30 to 507 of the family's 1533-position model. The record is from RNAcentral.